UACGGAGGGGGCUAGCGUUGUUCGGAAUUACUGGGCGUAAAGCGCACGUAGGCGGCUUUGCAAGUCAGAGGUGAAAGCCCGGGGCUCAACCCCGGAAUAGCCUUUGAGACUGCAUCGCUAGAAUUGUGGAGAGGUAAGUGGAAUUCCGAGUGUAGAGGUGAAAUUCGUAGAUAUUCGGAAGAACACCAGUGGCGAAGGCGACUCACUGGACACGUAUUGACGCUGAGGUGCGAAAGCGUGGGGAGCAAACAGG
This 253-nucleotide ribosomal RNA is filed under the name uncultured bacterium. RNAcentral's name for it is "partial 16S ribosomal RNA". It matches the Rfam family "Bacterial small subunit ribosomal RNA", at positions 524 to 776 of the family's 1533-position model. The record is from RNAcentral.